AGCCCCCCGGCCCGGCAGCGUCUCUGGCCGCUUGAGGUGGGUGGGAAUGAAACGUAACCGCCUCCCUGCCAAACCCGGGCUGCGGCUCCGUCUGCGUGGCACAAGCCCCGGCCUGGCGGGCUGGUCUCCUCCCCCCAUGUCGGAGCCGGCCAGGGCUGCGCCGAGCGCACAGUGACCCAUCCGUGCCGGUGACACAAGUGGAAGCUGCUCCCCCGCCCGCCCGCUCGCUGCGGUGUUGUAACUUGCGGCCACAAUAUUGGAAGUAUCGGGAAGCUGGGAUUGCGCGGACGUCACGCUGUGUUACAGUGUGGGGAAUAGGCUGGCGGGGCUGCGUCAAUGGCUCGGGGGUCCCAAAAUGUGUCUUGAGAAAGCUGCCUUUACAUCACAAGAUAUGCCCUAUUGCUUUGGAUAAAGCAGCGUUGUGCCACCUGUAGUUUAACUAGUAGCCAACAUCUCUCCCACCUCCCCGCAAUUCUCUACCAUAGGAAUAUGACUCAUCAUUGCAUAAACAUAACUAGUGGCCAGGCGAACAUGUUUAUUCAGACGUGAUUAGGGAUUUACAUGUGGCCUAUGAUGAAGCUAGAACCAGGAUGAAAAUCUACUAAAAAAUAUAAGACUAAAGAAUGUUUUUUUCCUCUUUCUGUUUUUUGAGGAGGACACCAUGAUGAGCCUAUUGUGCCCUACUUGUCCUAAGGAUCAACUAUAUCUUCCUCUAAUGAGAUGAUUCACUGACCAUUCAAUUAGGGGAAAAAAUCUGCUUUACUGUAAACAUACUUAUAUUUUUCUUUCUAUUAAAAUUGUUUUUUGUUUAAA
Non-coding RNA from Pelodiscus sinensis (Chinese soft-shelled turtle), 813 nucleotides. NCBI's taxonomy places the organism in Eukaryota, Metazoa, Chordata, Testudines, Trionychidae. The record is from RefSeq and is a predicted model, not a curated record.